Molecule: ribosomal RNA, 403 nt
Filed under: Fusobacteriota bacterium
Lineage: Bacteria; Fusobacteriati; Fusobacteriota
Description: Fusobacteria bacterium partial 16S ribosomal RNA
Rfam family: Bacterial small subunit ribosomal RNA
Source: RNAcentral
UGGGGAAUCUUGCACAAUGGGGGAAACCCUGAUGCAGCGACGCCGCGUGAGCGAUGAAGGUUUUCGAAUCGUAAAGCUCUGUCCUAUGGGAAGAUAAUGACGGUACCAUGGGAGGAAGCCCCGGCUAACUACGUGCCAGCAGCCGCGGUAAUACGUAGGGGGCGAGCGUUGUCCGGAAUUACUGGGCGUAAAGGGUUCGCAGGCGGCAUGGCAAGUCCGAGGUAAAAGGCGAAGGCUCAACCUUCGUAAGCAUCGGAAACUGUCAAGCUUGAGUGAAGGAGAGGCAGGUGGAAUUCCUAGUGUAGCGGUGGAAUGCGUAGAUAUUAGGAGGAAUACCGGUGGCGAAGGCGACUUGCUGGACUUCAACUGACGCUGAGGAACGAAAGCGUGGGUAGCAAACAGG